GAGGGGGUGCCGGAGCGGUCAAACGGGACAGGCUUAGGACCUGUUGGCUUAGUGCCUACUAGGGUUCAAAUCCCUACUCCCUCA
RNAcentral lists this transfer RNA (84 nucleotides) under Candidatus Woesearchaeota archaeon. RNAcentral describes it as "tRNA-Leu". It matches the Rfam family "tRNA". Rfam says of the family: Transfer RNA (tRNA) molecules are approximately 80 nucleotides in length. The record is from RNAcentral. Lineage: Archaea; Nanobdellati; Candidatus Woesearchaeota.